GACGAACGCUGGCGGCGUGCUUAACACAUGCAAGUCGAACGGAAAGGCCCUGCUUUUGUGGGGUGCUCGAGUGGCGAACGGGUGAGUAACACGUGAGUAACCUGCCCUUGACUUUGGGAUAACUUCAGGAAACUGGGGAUAAUACCGGAUAGGAGCUCCUGCUGCAUGGUGGGGGUUGGAAAGUUUCGGCGGUUGGGGAUGGACUCGCGGCUUACCAGCUUGUUGGUGGGGUAGUGGCUUACCAAGGCUUUGACGGGUAGCCGGCAUGGGAGGGUGACCGGCCACAUUGGGACUGAGGUACGGCCCAGACUCCAACGGGAGGCAGCAGUGGGGAAUAUUGCACAAUGGGCGGGAGCCUGAUACAGCAACGCCGCGAGCGGGAUGACGGCCUUCGGGUUGUGAACCGCUUUCGCCUGUGACGAAGCGUGAGUGACGGUAAUGGGUAAAGAAGCACCGGCUAACUACGUG
This 468-nucleotide ribosomal RNA is filed under the name uncultured bacterium. RNAcentral's name for it is "partial 16S ribosomal RNA". It matches the Rfam family "Bacterial small subunit ribosomal RNA", at positions 28 to 507 of the family's 1533-position model. The record is from RNAcentral.